CCCCUUAGAUGUUCUGGGCCGCACACGCGCUACACUGAAGGAGGCAGCGUGUACUCCUGGAUCGAAAGAUUUGGGUAACCCGCGAAUCUCCUUCGUGCUAGGGAUUGAGGUUUGCAAUUAUCCUUCAUGAACGAGGAAUUCCCAGUAAGUGCAAGUCAUAAGCUUGCGCUGACUACGUCCCUGCCCUUUGUACACACCGCCCGUCGCUACUACCGAUUGAAUGAUUUAGUGAGGACUUCGGACUGGGACCGAUGCGGCUUUCGGGCUGCGUCGGUAUUCUGGAAAGAUGUCCAAACUGUAUCAUUUAGAGGAAGUAAAAGUCGUAACA
Molecule: ribosomal RNA, 328 nt
Filed under: uncultured eukaryote
Lineage: Eukaryota
Description: partial 18S ribosomal RNA
Rfam family: Eukaryotic small subunit ribosomal RNA
Source: RNAcentral